This 465-nucleotide ribosomal RNA is filed under the name uncultured bacterium. RNAcentral describes it as "partial 16S ribosomal RNA". It matches the Rfam family "Bacterial small subunit ribosomal RNA", at positions 338 to 795 of the family's 1533-position model. The record is from RNAcentral.
CCUACGGGUGGCAGCAGUGGGGAAUAUUGCGCAAUGGGCGAAAGCCUGACGCAGCGACGCCGCGUGAGGGAUGAAGGUCUUCGGAUCGUAAACCUCUGUCAGCAGGGAAGAACGGUCACUGUGCUAAUCAGCAGUGACUUGACGGUACCUGCAAAGGAAGCACCGGCUAACUCCGUGCCAGCAGCCUCGGUAAUACGGGGGGUGCGAGCGUUAAUCGGAAUUACUGGGCGUAAAGCGCUCGUAGGCGGUAUGUCAAGUCAAGGGUGAAAUCCCCGCGCUCAACGUGGGAACUGCCUUUGAAACUGGCAAACUGGAGUGUGUGAGAGGAUAGUGGAAUGCCAGGUGUAGGAGUGAAAUCCGUAGAUAUCUGGAGGAACAUCAGUGGCGAAGGCGACUAUCUGGCACAUAACUGACGCUGAGGAGCGAAAGCGUGGGUAGCAAACAGGAUUAGAUACCCUAGUAGUC